RNAcentral lists this small RNA (125 nucleotides) under Marmota monax (woodchuck). The record is from RNAcentral. Lineage: Eukaryota; Metazoa; Chordata; Mammalia; Rodentia; Sciuridae.
GCUGGGCAUGGUGGUGCACACCUGUAAUCCAAGUGGCUUGGGAGGUUGAGGCAGGAGGAUCAUGAGUUCAAAACUAGCCUCAGCAAAAGUGAGGUGCUAAGCAACUCAGGGAGCCCCUGUCUCUA